GAAAGGCCCUGCUUGCAGGGUACUCGAGUGGCGAACGGGUGAGUAACACGUGGGUGAUCUGCCCUGCACUUCGGGAUAAGCUUGGGAAACUGGGUCUAAUACCGGAUAGGAACCAUCUUUAGUGUGGUGGUUGGAAAGUUUUUUCGGUGUAGGAUGAGCUCGCGGCCUAUCAGCUUGUUGGUGGGGUAAUGGCCUACCAAGGCGGCGACGGGUAGCCGGCCUGAGAGGGUGUACGGCCACAUUGGGACUGAGAUACGGCCCAGACUCCUACGGGAGGCAGCAGUGGGGAAUAUUGCACAAUGGGCGCAAGCCUGAUGCAGCGACGCCGCGUGGGGGAUAAAGGCCUUCGGGUUGUAAACUCCUUUCGCUAGGGACGAAGCUUUUUGGUGACGGUACCUAGAUAAGAAGCACCGGCUAACUACGUGCCAGCAGCCGCGGUAAUACGUAGGGUGCGAGCGUUGUCCGGAAUUACUGGGCGUAAGGGGCUCGUAGGUGGUUUGUCGCGUCGUCUGUGAAAUUCUGGGGCUUAACUCCGGGCGUGCAGGCGAUACGGGCAUAACUUGAGUGCUGUAGGGGUAACUGGAAUUCCUGGUGUAGCGGUGAAAUGCGCAGAUAUCAGGAGGAACACCGAUGGCGAAGGCAGGUUACUGGGCAGUUACUGACGCUGAGGAGCGAAAGCAUGGGUAGCGAACAGGAUUA
This 699-nucleotide ribosomal RNA is filed under the name uncultured Actinomycetales bacterium. Its description in RNAcentral is "bacterial SSU rRNA". It matches the Rfam family "Bacterial small subunit ribosomal RNA", at positions 68 to 780 of the family's 1533-position model. Lineage: Bacteria; Bacillati; Actinomycetota; Actinomycetes; Actinomycetales. The record is from RNAcentral.